Molecule: ribosomal RNA, 468 nt
Filed under: uncultured bacterium
Lineage: Bacteria
Description: partial 16S ribosomal RNA
Rfam family: Bacterial small subunit ribosomal RNA
Source: RNAcentral
GACGAACGCUGGCGGCGUGCUUAACACAUGCAAGUCGAACGGAAAGGCCCUGCUCUUGUGGGGUGCUCGAGUGGCGAACGGGUGAGUAACACGUGAGUAACCUGCCCCUGACUUUGGGAUAACUUCAGGAAACUGGGGCUAAUACCGGAUAGGAGCUCCUGCUGCAUGGUGGGGGUUGGAAAGUUUCGGCGGUUGGGGAUGGACUCGCGGCUUAUCAGCUUGUUGGUGGGGUAGUGGCUUACCAAGGCUUUGACGGGUAGCCGGCCUGAGAGGGUGACCGGCCACAUUGGGACUGAGAUACGGCCCAGACUCCUACGGGAGGCAGCAGUGGGGAAUAUUGCACAAUGGGCGGAAGCCUGAUGCAGCAACGCCGCGUGCGGGAUGACGGCCUUCGGGUUGUAAACCGCUUUCGCCUGUGACGAAGCGUGAGUGACGGUAAUGUGUAAAGAAGCACCGGCUAACUACGUG